UCUCCUGUCGUAUAGUGGUUAGUAUGUGAGCUUGUCAUCCAACAACGCUCGAGACCCGGGUUCAAUUCCCGGCGGGAGAG
Gaeumannomyces graminis is the source of this 80-nucleotide transfer RNA. It matches the Rfam family "tRNA". From Rfam's summary of the family: Transfer RNA (tRNA) molecules are approximately 80 nucleotides in length. Their secondary structure includes four short double-helical elements and three loops (D, anti-codon, and T loops). The record is from Rfam. Lineage: Eukaryota; Fungi; Ascomycota; Sordariomycetes; Magnaporthales; Magnaporthaceae.